RNAcentral lists this ribosomal RNA (467 nucleotides) under uncultured bacterium. RNAcentral describes it as "partial 16S ribosomal RNA". It matches the Rfam family "Bacterial small subunit ribosomal RNA", at positions 28 to 507 of the family's 1533-position model. The record is from RNAcentral.
GACGAACGCUGGCGGCGUGCUUAACACAUGCAAGUCGAACGGAAAGGCCCUGCUUUUGUGGGGUGCUCGAGUGGCGAACGGGUGAGUAACACGUGAGUAACCUGCCCUUGACUUUGGGAUAACUUCAGGAAACUGGGGCUAAUACCGGAUAGGAGCUCCUGCUGCAUGGUGGGGGUUGGAAAGUUUCGGCGGUUGGGGAUGGACUCGCGGCUUAUCAGCUUGUUGGUGGGGUAGUGGCUUACCAAGGCUUGGACGGGUAGCCGGCCUGAGAGGGUGACGGCCACAUUGGGACUGAGAUACGGCCCAGACUCCUACGGGAGGCAGCAGUGGGGAAUAUUGCACAAUGGGCGGAAGCCUGAUGCAGCAACGCCGCGUGCGGGAUGACGGCCUUCGGGUUGUAAACCGCUUUCGCCUGUGACGAAGCGUGAGUGACGGUAAUGGGUAAAGAAGCACCGGCUAACUACGUG